GUCAUGAAGCUUGCUGUAUGUAAGCUGUACAAAACUCUGCCGUCGUCAUCAUCAUAUUCAAGGCAGGGUGUGGAGGACUGCUGCCCUGAGACCGCUAGGUUUAUUCUGGAAUAUUGUCACUUCCAAAGCCCAUUACAAGCCUGCAAGUGAGUUCACUCACCAGUGGGCUCUAUGAACUGUCCAGAGCAAAGUCAGUUUGUCCUGAUGGCACUACCUGCUACUAUGGCUGCUGCUCUCAACCUGGUGGGGCAAGUCUUAAGAGUUGUGUGAACCCUUAAAGGGUUAAGGCCAUAAUGGGCCACCCAGAAGAGAUUCAGGCACUCCCUCAAGAUUGCUGGGCCAUGCAAUUAAUGCCAAACUUACAGAACUGUGAUGUCAGUACAGAAACAAAAAUAGCCAUUUUUAAAUAAAUUCAACAAAAGAAAACAGAAGAGUUGUGUGUUUCUUCCUCUUUAUAAUGAUACUAUGGUUAGUUUUAAGUAAAUACUAUAGUGAAAACAAUUAUAAAUGCAGAAAACAUGAAACCAUAGUAGAAUAUGA
Molecule: long non-coding RNA, 540 nt
Organism: Sardina pilchardus (European sardine)
Lineage: Eukaryota; Metazoa; Chordata; Actinopteri; Clupeiformes; Clupeidae
Exons: 5
Source: RefSeq, a predicted model, not a curated record